This 253-nucleotide ribosomal RNA is filed under the name uncultured bacterium. RNAcentral's name for it is "partial 16S ribosomal RNA". It matches the Rfam family "Bacterial small subunit ribosomal RNA", at positions 524 to 776 of the family's 1533-position model. The record is from RNAcentral.
UACGGGGGGGGCAAGCGUUGUUCGGAAUUACUGGGCGGAAAGGGCGCGUAGGCGGCCUGCUAAGGCGGACGUGAAAUCCCUCGGCUCAACCGGGGAACUGCGUCCGAUACUGGUGGGCUCGAAUCCGGGAGAGGGAUGUGGAAUUCCAGGUGUAGCGGUGAAAUGCGUAGAUAUCUGGAGGAACACCGGUGGCGAAGGCGGCAUCCUGGACCGGUAUUGACGCUGAUGCGCGAAAGCCAGGGGAGCAAACGGG